RNAcentral lists this ribosomal RNA (437 nucleotides) under uncultured bacterium. Its description in RNAcentral is "partial 16S ribosomal RNA". It matches the Rfam family "Bacterial small subunit ribosomal RNA", at positions 29 to 507 of the family's 1533-position model. The record is from RNAcentral.
AGCGAACGCUGGCGGCAGGCUUAACACAUGCAAGUCGAGCGGGCAUCCUUGUGGUGUCAGCGGCAGACGGGUGAGUAACGCGUGGGAACGUGCCCUUCGGUUCGGAAUAACUCAGGGAAACUUGAGCUAAUACCGGAUACGUGCGAGAGCAGAAAGGUUUAUCUGCCGAAGGAUCGGCCCGCGUCUGAUUAGCUAGUUGGUGAGGUUAUGGCUCACCAAGGCGACGAUCAGUAGCUGGUCUGAGAGGAUGAUCAGCCACACUGGGACUGAGACACGGCCCAGACUCCUACGGGAGGCAGCAGUGGGGAAUAUUGGACAAUGGGGGCAACCCUGAUCCAGCCAUGCCGCGUGAGUGAUGACGGCCUUAGGGUUGUAAAGCUCUUUUCUCCGGGACGAUAAUGACGGUACCGGAGGAAUAAGCCCCGGCCAACUUCGUG